GAAAUGCGAUAAGUAAUGUGAAUUGCAGAAUUCAGUGAAUCAUCGAAUCUUUGAACGCACAUUGCGCCCGCCAGUAUUCUGGCGGGCAUGCCUGUCCGAGCGUCAUUUCAACCAUCAAGCCCCCGGGCUUGUGUUGGGGACCUGCGGCUGCCCGCAGGCCCUGAAAACCAGUGGCGGGCUCGCUGUCACACCGAGCGUAGUAGCAAUCACCUCGCUCAGGGCGUGCUGCGGGUUCCGGCCGUUAAACAGCCUUACAAAACCCAAGGUUGACCUCGGAUCAGGUAGGAAGACCCGCUGAACAGAAGC
Molecule: unclassified non-coding RNA, 306 nt
Filed under: plant metagenome
Description: partial contains 5.8S ribosomal RNA, internal transcribed spacer 2, and large subunit ribosomal RNA
Rfam family: 5.8S ribosomal RNA (bases 1-105)
Source: RNAcentral